GUGAAUCAUCGAAUUUUUGAACGCAAAUUGCGCCUUUUUCUGAAGGCAUGUCUGUUUGAGGGCACCAUUUAACAAAUAAUGUGCACCGUUUUGUGUGUGCACACGUUGAUGAGCUUUCCAGGAAAAAUUUUUUUUUUUUUUUUUUUUUUGUGGGCCAUAAUGAACAACGCGAAAGCUUUUUUUUUAUUUUGAGUGUAUG
RNAcentral lists this unclassified non-coding RNA (199 nucleotides) under Paraglomerales sp. Its description in RNAcentral is "partial contains 5.8S ribosomal RNA and internal transcribed spacer 2". The stretch from base 1 to 65 matches the Rfam family "5.8S ribosomal RNA", at positions 84 to 154 of the family's 154-position model. The record is from RNAcentral. Lineage: Eukaryota; Fungi; Glomeromycota; Glomeromycetes; Paraglomerales.